Molecule: ribosomal RNA, 430 nt
Filed under: bacterium
Lineage: Bacteria
Description: partial 16S ribosomal RNA
Rfam family: Bacterial small subunit ribosomal RNA
Source: RNAcentral
UGGGGAAUAUUGGACAAUGGGCGAAAGCCUGAUCCAGCCAUGCCGCGUGUGUGAAGAAGGCCUUUCGGUUGUAAAGCACUUUAAGCGAGGAGGAGGCUACUUAGAUUAAUACCCUAGGAUAGUGGACGUUACUCGCAGAAUAAGCACCGGCUAACUCUGUGCCAGCAGCCGCGGUAAUACAGAGGGUGCGAGCGUUAAUCGGAUUUACUGGGCGUAAAGCGUGCGUAGGCGGCUUCUUAAGUCGGAUGUGAAAUCCCUGAGCUUAACUUAGGAAUUGCAUUCGAUACUGGGAAGCUAGAGUAUGGGAGAGGAUGGUAGAAUUCCAGGUGUAGCGGUGAAAUGCGUAGAGAUCUGGAGGAAUACCGAUGGCGAAGGCAGCCAUCUGGCCUAAUACUGACGCUGAGGUACGAAAGCAUGGGGAGCAAACAGG